This 31-nucleotide non-coding RNA is filed under the name Rattus norvegicus (Norway rat). The record is from RNAcentral. Lineage: Eukaryota; Metazoa; Chordata; Mammalia; Rodentia; Muridae.
UGUUAAGCAUGACCCCCAUGGGAUGCUGGGA